CCAGCGUGAAAUUGUGUGCCUUCCCUCACUGGAUCUCGUCCUUCCUCUUCUCUCCUCCCGUCGACGACGAGACCGAAACGAAGAAGCAGAGAGCGCGCGAAGUUAGAUUCAACGUUCAGGUUCAGCCAUGGAUUUUUGGAACAAAGCUCGGAAUUUCGCCGAGGAAGCAGCGAAGCGCUCUCAGGAGCUGACUCUGGAAGCUGCAAGGCGUUCCCAAGAGCUCACGAUUGGAUCCUCUAGUUUGUCCGAUAUCGUUUCCGUGACUGCUAAACGCUCCAAGGAAUUCGCUACUGAAGCCUCGAAGCGAGCUGAUCAAAUUAAAGCAGAAGCUGCUAAGCGAGCCGAUCUAAUCAAGCACUUGGUCGGGGGGACUCCGUCGUCUGGCGCUCUUGAGAAGAACGCUUCCGAAGUAGAGAUGCAGGAGGAGGAUUUGCAGAAGUUUGGAAUAAACGAAGAGCUGAGGGACUUUGUCAAAGGCAUCACCAUGAGUACAUUUCGGGAUUUCCCACUCGAAGAUGAUUCACAAGUGUCCAAUAUCCCCACAGUCUCAAACAUUAGUCAGGAUCUAACUGUGUGGCAGACGAAGCAUGCAAGCCUUGUUCUUUCAACUGUCAAGGAAAUUUCUACGUUACGUUAUGAAUUGUGUCCACGCAUUAUGAAAGAGAGAAAAUUCUGGAGGAUUUACUUUUUGCUGGUUAAUAGACACAUUGCACCCUAUGAGAAAAAGUACAUGGAGGAUGUCAUGCUGAAAUCAGCUACACAGGUUGUAGAUGGAAAGAAGGAACCUGAUAAAACUGAAAUAACAUCUAAUUCUCAUGAGAAGAAAAAUGCUCCAACCUUUUCAUCAAGUGAUCAGGAGAAGAAAAAUGCUCCAACCUCCUCAUCAACUGACCAAGACUUGGACCUAUUUCUUCUUGGGGAUCUUGGAGACAGCGAUGAAGGUCCAGGUACAGUGCCACAAUUUAUUGAUGUCUGCUCUGUACUAAAGAUUUCAGACAAAGAAAUCAUGCCUCUACGUAAUCUUUAAAGUUCAAACAAAGAUCUGUUCCUUUGACGUUAUUGAUUUUGUCUAUUCAAGCUUGUUAAUUUUAACAGUAUGACAAAUUGUUGUUGUCAAGAGGUUGUAUUAGCAAUUGGCAUAUAUCCUUUUUAGUCCCUACUGACGUUUUUUCUGAGGCAGAAAAAAAUCUGCUCACUUCUUUAUCUGAAAGGAAGAGACUAGAGAAAUGUGGUUCUUGGAUUGAAAACAAGUGAUUUGAGGGAGUGGCUGCCAUUGGUCAUUUCCAUGGCUUCAAACAUUAUUUGGUGCAAUUAUUAGCAAUGGGCAUAGCAUAUGCACAGUACAGUUAUAUAGUUGCUUGUUCAUUUAUACUGUUGAUGUCAUUUUGUCAUUUGAGGUUGCUUGCACUGAUAUUCUUCCUGAUUUUUCAGAUGAUGGAGAUGAGGGCUUUGAUGAUGAUUUUGACAAAAUGGUUGACAGUUCGGAUGACGAGAAAGACAAAUUGUAGGAGACAACAGCAGGAGUGUUUUCACAUCAAAUCAUUGCUACUCAUCCAUUUGAAGUCGUCUUUUCCGUUCUUGGUGGCAGAGUUCAGUGGGCUAAAUGAUGAUCCAAUAAAAAACCCAUUUGAAGUCCUCUUCUAUCACUCCACUGAGCAGCGUGUGCACCUGAACCUGUGCAGGAGAAACCGAAGCUUAUAUGUUCAUUAUUUUUUUUUUCCCUUCUCACACUUGCCACUGAGGGAGGUUCCCAUGUACACAAAUCCUGUAUUAUACUUGGACCUUUGGUUGAUUUUGUACAGCACUCAGCACCUUAGCUUGGCCCUUCUUGGUGUAGGAUUAAUAUUUGUUUAAAUUAUAGGUUUAGUUCUUAAACGUUCUUAAACUUUUAAGUUUGUGUCUAUUUGGUCUCCAAAGUUGAUACAUCUAUAAACUUUCAUUUUUAUA
This is a non-coding RNA of Cucurbita pepo subsp. pepo (vegetable marrow), 1947 nucleotides long. The record is from RefSeq and is a predicted model, not a curated record. NCBI's taxonomy places the organism in Eukaryota, Viridiplantae, Streptophyta, Magnoliopsida, Cucurbitales, Cucurbitaceae.